This 218-nucleotide ribosomal RNA is filed under the name uncultured bacterium. RNAcentral describes it as "partial 16S ribosomal RNA". It matches the Rfam family "Bacterial small subunit ribosomal RNA", at positions 116 to 334 of the family's 1533-position model. The record is from RNAcentral.
CGUGAGCAACCUACUGAACUGUGGGGGAUAGCCGGCCUAACGGCCGAGUAAUACCGCAUACGCUCUCAGAGAGGCAUUUCAUUGAGAGGAAACCUACGGGACAGAUCGAGGGGCUCGCGGCCUAUCAGCUAGUUGGCGAGGUAACGGCUCACCAAGGCAACGACGGGUAGCUGGUCUGAGAGGAUGGCCAGCCACAUUGGGACUGAGAUACGGCCCAA